ACCAAGAGUCAGACGCUUUACCAACUGAAUGAACCAUCUUCUCCCACCACCCCUCCCACACCCCCAGGAAAUUUGUUUCUAAUGAGUAUUCAAGAUAUUUCUGAUGCUGCAGGGCUACAGACCUAGCCCUUCCUUCACAAACGUCAACAUCAGCCUUCUGGGUUGUAACAACUGUGUUUCACCUGGCAACCGUCUUCUCUUUCACCCUUUCCUCACUACCUUACAGAAAACUUAUUUUCCCAGAAAUCGUUCUCAUUUUGAAGAUAUUCUCCCUUUAAACAACGGGAAGACAUCAUUAUGUUUGGUGGGGAGGACAGCCUCCAAGCACAGAUGUCCUUCCUCUAUUGUUCCGGAUAAAAGAUGGAGCUGCAAAGCCAACUCUAGGUGCCAGUGCAUUGCAUCCUGCUUCCUCACUUGUUAAUGACCAAUCUCUUUGAAACGCUCACACACAGUAGAUUGGAGUUGUGAAUGGAAAUCCUAGGAAACAGUGAUCACUGGUUUGGGGGCAUUUAUACCAGCAUAAAGCAGCCCAUUGUGGGAAUCUGCCAUUUCCAUCAGCUGGCCUUCAAAGUUCCGAAGUAAGCAAAUGACAGAAAAGCAAAGCAAACAAAACAACAAAAACGAACCAGCAUUUCCUCCAAAAAAGAACGCAAUGCCAUUUAAGCUUCAGUUACACUUCUCGCUGCCCUGGGAGCAGCCACGCCAGGGCCCGAGGCCUCUGGCCGAUCCAGGGCCCAUUUUGAGUUCCCCGCAUUGUUCCUGGCACCGCGGCUCCUGUGUAGCAAGCAGGAUAUUCGACUUGACAAGGCUCUUUCUUUCUGGAUCAGGGAGGGAGCAAGGUUCUUGUCAGUUUGAAUCACGAGUCCACACUUGGCGGAGCCGACUGGACAGGCCCAGUGGGGGAAGGGGCCAUGUGCGCGCCAUCCGUGCGCGCGUCACGUGGGCCUCUCUCCCCAUCUCGCAAAUAACUCCACUGGCUUCAAGCUACCCUGCUCCGAGAGGGCCUGUUUACCAUGUGGCCAGCUGAUCCGCUUCUGACGCUGAAUCUCCUCGUUAUCCAGCAGCUAAAAUUUUACUUUCAGGCUUCAUCCUUCUACCGCGAUUUUUCUCACAGCGGCAGCUGAGAAUAUCCAGUUAUGCAAUUCUCAGGGUUUUACUGUUUUAAAACGCAUUUCUAAGGAUUAUAUAUAUAUAUAUAUAUAUGCUUUUUUUGGAGUCCAUGUCAAAAGGCUUUCAGAAGUCAUAAAAAAAAAAAAAUCCCCCAACUGAAAACUUAGUAUAUGUUGUUCUAAAAAAUGUUUUGUCUUUAUUAUUAUUUUUUGAAAAAACGGAGUUUUAGAAGAAUAACAUAGAAUUAAUGAAAGGUACAGUCUGGGAAUUUUGAUUGGGUAACGAAGAAAACAAAAGUGUUCACGUUACUUUAUCUCUUUAUCCCUAAAAGUUGGCACUUCAGUUGUGUUUCUUGGAAGAGGAAAGAAGAAAGUUUGAUUGGUUGCGAAUUCUCACACGUGUCUGAAAAAUAAGUAAUCUGGUCCCAUGUUUCUUUACAUGGACCUUGAGAACACUAUUUUUGAUUAUCAUAUGAAUGUGAAAUUCUAUCCUUUGCCGGGUUUUUUUGUUUCCUAAUAGCGAAAUGGCAAGAAAGCCUUUUUUCUGAGCCCAUGCAAACCACUCUUUAGAAUGUUUUUAUGGCAACAGAACCGGUCACUAGCUAUUUGUGACUUAAUUACAGAAUUUUGUGAUGCUGAUUAUCCAACCAACUUGCUAAAUAUGUCAACAAACCAGGUGAUUAAGGGAAGGAAAAAGGAAAAUGGUUGAUAAUGUUAAAUUCAGUCAAAACAAUUGUCCUGUGCUUUUUUGCAUCCUUUUCAAGGUUUUCUGCUGAAACUAAAACUCAAAUAAUAAAAUCACACUUUGUGUAACAAA
Long non-coding RNA from Herpailurus yagouaroundi (jaguarundi), 1926 nucleotides. RefSeq lists it as uncharacterized. The transcript has 2 exons. NCBI's taxonomy places the organism in Eukaryota, Metazoa, Chordata, Mammalia, Carnivora, Felidae. The record is from RefSeq and is a predicted model, not a curated record.